This is a long non-coding RNA of Gorilla gorilla gorilla (western lowland gorilla), 3229 nucleotides long. RefSeq lists it as uncharacterized. Lineage: Eukaryota; Metazoa; Chordata; Mammalia; Primates; Hominidae. The record is from RefSeq and is a predicted model, not a curated record. The transcript has 4 exons.
UCUGUAGUUUCUCCAAGCAGUAACCUUCUCUCAUGACAAACUGUACCCACUUGCUAGAAACUCAGCAACUUGGUUUUUCCCGUUCUGCGUGGCUCCCAGAUGGCCACCAGCUGGCCGGAGCUAUUUCCUGCAUUCUAAUCCCUUUCUGCGUCCUCCUGGUUCUCUUUUUGAUCUCCCACGUCUGUCCCCUCCUCCUUCUAACACCCACCAUACUAUAUCCCUCUUUGGAAGCACCUAUUUUCUAAGAAAAUCUUGAGGAAUUUUUUGGAGGCAUUACGUCUUUUUUGUUUUGAAACUUUUGGAUUGUAAGGAAAACCAGUUGCAGAGCUAGCCAGAGGCCCCAGCUCUGCUCCAUCAGCAGAAGGACAGCUGUCUCUGAGGGCAGGACGAGGACCCCCGCCUUGCAGGGGUCAUGGCAGACUGUUUUGUGACAAGGCCGUUGGGGGACAAAUGGACCUGACAUUCUCCAGAAACCAGGCUUCAGUCUUUGAGCUGCACUCCUCUUCCUUCAAAAUCGUGGCAAGGAGACGCCUAUUCCCCCGGCGUACUCAUGGACCAGCGAGAGCCACUGACAGAUGCAUCACUGGAUCCUAACUAAGCACUUUUUGUUCCAUCUCCCUGUGACCAGAGUAUUGUACCACAAUCCCAGUUGUUUGCAAUAAAUGGCUUGUCUUGAUUUUCCAGAUUAUAGCUAGAAGAUUGCCUCAAACGAUGAAUUGUAGAAUGGAGCAGGAUGUCUGUGUGUCUGCGUCUUCACCCGGGUUUUUCAGGCCACUGUGUCUGUGAACUUAGCUCCAUGAAAGCAAGAAGCCUAUGAGAAUUCCACCAGAGGCAAGCCUGGCCUUGGCGCUUCGCUGUCUUAGCGUGUGUCUGGCCCUCCCAUUCCUGGCCAAGGCCCACAGCCACCACAGAUGACCUGCUGAUGCCUCUGCUGAAAUCAGUGGCCACUGGCCAACAGCUUGACAAGAGUGUCAGCUCCCUCCCGAGACGAAAUCAGAGGAAAACGCCUCUAGUUUCUAAGAAGCACACAGGGAGCCACUUCUUUACCGCUAGCUCCUGCAGGGUUUUGCUCCCCGAGCCCCGCCCUGCAGGUGCUGGUUUGCCUCCUGAGCCCUGUCCUAAGGACACUCUGCGCGUCGCCUCCUGGUGAGGAGACUGAGGCAGAAAGAGGUUGAAUGAUGUGCCCAAGGGAACAGAAGUCAUGAGUAGCAGAGCUGGGCUUGCUAAACCUCGUGUGGUCUUCAAGCUCAGGUCCAUCAGCACUGGAACAAGCUAUGGUGUUAGUUGAGUUCACAGUAGGGCAUGUCAUUUUCCUGCCAAAUUAUCUCAGUCUGGGUACAAAUAAAAUCUCAGCCUGCUGCUUUUUUUUUUAACCUCAGUAUGACAUACACCAAAAAUUCUGUGUCAAGUGUGUCUUAUACAAGAUUUUUCCAGUGGCUAAUCUAUUAAUGGGAAUUGCAUCAGCAUCAUUGGGUUCUGUCACUUUUUCAUGCCAUUAUAGCACCAUUUAGAAGCUCAUUUAAUUUCACAAAGUCACCAUAUACUGUUCCCUUCCCUCCAUGUCUCUCUUCCUUAGCUAACGUGUCAUUUUCUCACUCCACACUCCCUCAUUAGAGCCCGGCAAUCUGACUUCUCUCCCUGAUCCUCCACUGACAUUUUUCUCACCACUGGUUCCAUUUCUAAUAAAUCACAUGGGGUUUUCUCAGUCUCUCUUCUUCCUCGAGCUCCCUGGAUGUUCAGCUGCUAAUCACCUCUUCCCUCCAGACAUCCCUUCUCCCUUGGCUUCUGCUGGCUCCUUUCCUCUCUGUUACCCCAACACUUCCUCCCUCCAGUGCUCUUCGAGUCUUACUGCUGAGCAGUCUUCCCUAAGCCAAUGAUAUUCAUGACUACAUCUCUUCCUGAAUCCCAAACCGAGACUUGCAGCUUCCAACAGGACCCUUGCACUUGGGGGACCUUGGCUGUUCUAAAGCCAUCUCACUCUCAACAUACACAGCAUCAAACCUUAGGCCUUAGCUUGGCCUGCCAGGAAGCUGAGCAGCUCCAUUUGCUUGCAGCGCCCUCCAUUGUCUUGGUAUGCUGGCACUGGGAUCUUAUGCUUGGAGCUCGAUAAGAAUGAUUGGAAUGUAUCUAGCCUAGUGUCUGGCAUGGAAAAGGUGCUCUGUAAAACCAUUUCCUCUUUCCUUUUCCUUCUCUCUCCUGCCCAGUGUUUAUGGAGUCACCAGGUCUGUUGAGCAUGGAAGGAAAUGCCAGCUUUAUUCCAUUCCAUCCACCCCACUGCCACUCCACUGACCCCUCAUCCAUCAGCCUGGAAUAGUGUCUAGCCUUUGAGCCCAUCUCCCAGCCCGCAUUUCUCCAGGGAACCACCCUGUUCACUGACACCAGGUAAAUCUUUCCAACCCAUGGCUAUCACUCAGCUUGACUUUCAAAGCCUUCCAUGCAUGGGGCCUGUCAUUCAUUCAACAUUUCCACCCCCCCACACACAAAUGAGAGCUCUUUCCCUUAGUCCACCCAGGCCCCACCUCUUCUCUGCCUGCCAUCUCUGUGUCUUGCUCACAUUGUUCCAUUUAUCAGAAACACUUUCCCUCCCCAGCCUUUGCCUCUUCAGGAUCAAGCUGACCCAUAAAGAUGGUCUUAUGUACUCAGUCCAAAAUGUUCUUUAUUUCCUCUGAAUUCCUCUAGCAUUUACAGUCAAGAUCCCGCACCCUCUGACUACCACUAAUAGAAUACACUGGGUUCUUACUGUUGUAAAGACUGAUUCAAUCACUCCUGAAAAUAACUUGGAGAGAGAUAUGUCCACCUGUUCUUGCCAGUGAGGAAACUGAGGCUCACAAGGUGAACACCCCAGAAUUGCACCUGGGAUUUGGUUCCGAAGACCACAUCCUUACUCCUCACUGUGCUAGAUUCUCCUGUAUUUGUUUCUUUUCAUCUCCCAAUAGGAUUUAAUGGCACAGAUCAUUUAUUGUGCUAUUUUGUUGCUUUUCCAAUGGGCCUAGCUAAGGACUGAGAACAUGAUAUUCCUUUGAUAAACACUCACUGAUUUUGGCUUCUGACUUCCAGACUUAAUAAUGUUGUGACCCCCAAAAGAGGCAGGCAAUUUAUGUAAGCAGUAGUCACCAAAAUUAUUUGCCCUGAUAAACAACAUAACAAUCAGCACCAGGCCAAAGUGACCAGUGAUAUCCAGAUGACAAACUGCUUAACCUCGGCUGUCUCCUUCCUUUUCCUCCUUAAA